RNAcentral lists this long non-coding RNA (368 nucleotides) under Equus caballus (horse). RNAcentral's name for it is "lncRNA (ENSECAG00000059712.1)". Lineage: Eukaryota; Metazoa; Chordata; Mammalia; Perissodactyla; Equidae. The record is from RNAcentral.
AGGUACCUGAAGUCUUUCGGCAAAAGCCGACUGAGAAGGAGGCGAAAGAGACCGGGAUCUUUAGCGACCACCCGCAACCCGCUCCCAAGGGCACUGAAGAUCUUUAAAGGAAGAUGUCUUACCACCUCUAAAGCUUUUUAACAAGAUGUGCUGUGGGCUCUGCAGACAGCGCCCAAUGAAGAGCUCCAAAAUAGGUUUCAGCAAUGGAAGCAUUACUGCAAUAAGUGACAGACUUCCAAGAUGACCAGUUAGCUAAGGACACACUCAAAUGCACGUGUUCAGCAAUGACAAGGUCCAGUAGCAACAAGAAAAGAUAAGAUGUGAGACUGGAAGCCACUGGAGGAUUUCAAGCACACAAAGGGUGUGAC